GUAUCUAUUCUGUGGUCAAUAGCAACAGAGCCGAAGUCAGCAGUUAAAUUCAUAAUUUUUCUUACAGAUCUUGGUCAAGUAAAAAGACACGCAAAAUGUGACAACCUACAACGGACAGUGAUUAACGCGACAAUUCUAUUACAAGAAAGUUGAAAUUGUGAAAUAACAGCUGAAAUAACUUUGGUGAGAGAGAAAGACUGAAAUGGUUCUACAAAAUGAUGUCUUUUAGCAUAGCUCUUACAAUCAACUUUUGGGAAACCAAAGAAACAAAAGGAGCCAUUUUAGAUAUAUUUAUUAUUAUUACUUUUAUUCAUUAUUAUUAUUAUAAAAGUAUUAAUUGAUUGCGCCUAUAUCGCAAAAAUGGUUUUCAGUAGGACCCUGUUAAAUACAAUAACUAUAUUGCAUCCAUAGAUUAAAAGAAUACUAAAAUUUCAAAUAAAACAUUCAUAACCUAUAUUUAAAAAGUUUAAGACUCUGAUUCUCCCUAAUAUUCUUAUGUAACUUGUUCCAUUCACAUGCAAACCUGGUAAGCGAACUUUUGUUCACCUAAAUUUGUUUUUACUUGUUGCUAUAUGUUAUUCAUAGAUUUCAUACAUUAGCUAUUGUUGUUGUCCAUUACGAGAUGAACAGGAAAAUCACGAUCGUUUUUAGACACUUAAAGAUUGUAUUAAGGUUUACUCUAAAAAAUAAAUUACCUUCAUUCUUGUUUUCAUCAUCUAAUAGGUACGAUAACUAAAUUUAGUAGUUA
Long non-coding RNA from Xenia sp. Carnegie-2017, 748 nucleotides. RefSeq lists it as uncharacterized. The record is from RefSeq and is a predicted model, not a curated record. The transcript is spliced from 3 exons. Lineage: Eukaryota; Metazoa; Cnidaria; Anthozoa; Malacalcyonacea; Xeniidae.